RNAcentral lists this transfer RNA (63 nucleotides) under Papio anubis (olive baboon). Its description in RNAcentral is "tRNA-Thr". It matches the Rfam family "tRNA". From Rfam's summary of the family: Transfer RNA (tRNA) molecules are approximately 80 nucleotides in length. Their secondary structure includes four short double-helical elements and three loops (D, anti-codon, and T loops). Lineage: Eukaryota; Metazoa; Chordata; Mammalia; Primates; Cercopithecidae. The record is from RNAcentral.
GCCCUUGUAGUACAAAUUAAUACACUGGUCUUGUAAACCAGAAAUGGAGCACUCCCCAGGGUA